This 726-nucleotide ribosomal RNA is filed under the name uncultured bacterium. RNAcentral's name for it is "bacterial SSU rRNA". It matches the Rfam family "Bacterial small subunit ribosomal RNA", at positions 94 to 823 of the family's 1533-position model. The record is from RNAcentral.
AGCGGCGAACGGGUGAGUAACACGUAGGUGAUCGGCCCAUCAGACGGGGACAACGAUUGGAAACGAUCACUAAUACCGGAUAGGACGAAAGUUUAAAGGUGCUUCUGGCACCGCUGAUGGAUGAGCCUGCGGCGCAUUAGCUAGUUGGUAGGGUAAAGGCCUACCAAGGCGACGAUGCGUAGCCGACCUGAGAGGGUGAACGGCCACACUGGGACUGAGACACGGCCCAGACUCCUACGGGAGGCAGCAGUAGGGAAUCUUCGGCAAUGGGCGAAAGCCUGACCGAGCAACGCCGCGUGAAUGAUGAAGGCCUUCGGGUUGUAAAAUUCUGUUAUAAGGGAAGAACGACUUUAGUAGGAAAUGGCUAGAGUGUGACGGUACCUUAUGAGAAAGCCACGGCUAACUACGUGCCAGCAGCCGCGGUAAUACGUAGGUGGCGAGCGUUAUCCGGAAUUAUUGGGCGUAAAGAGCGCGCAGGUGGUUGAUUAAGUCUGAUGUGAAAGCCCACGGCUUAACCGUGGAGGGUCAUUGGAAACUGGUCGACUUGAGUGCAGAAGAGGGAAGUGGAAUUCCAUGUGUAGCGGUGAAAUGCGUAGAGAUAUGGAGGAACACCAGUGGCGAAGGCGGCUUCCUGGUCUGUAACUGACACUGAGGCGCGAAAGCGUGGGGAGCAAACAGGAUUAGAUACCCUGGUAGUCCACGCCGUAAACGAUGAGUGCUAAGUGU